Long non-coding RNA from Cornus florida, 1867 nucleotides. RefSeq lists it as uncharacterized. The transcript has 3 exons. NCBI's taxonomy places the organism in Eukaryota, Viridiplantae, Streptophyta, Magnoliopsida, Cornales, Cornaceae. The record is from RefSeq and is a predicted model, not a curated record.
UUAUAUAUUACCCAAAAAUAAAAUUAUUAUGUUUAAUAUUCCUUCCAUCCCAAUUUAAUAGUCCAUUUGUUUUUUUUUCCUUUCUCAAAAAAAUAAUUGUCCUUCAAAGUCAAAAUAAAAAUAAAUGAUGGGUCGGGUCUGGGUAAUGUGUCCGACCCAUUAACAUUGCCAGCCGUCGGAGUGAAAUCCUCAUUUCUGCUUCCCAUCAAGAGAGAGAAGAGAGGGGAUCUAUGAGAGAGAGAGUGAAGAACAUCUACGAGUACUGAUAAAGCCCAUGGGGCAUUCCAGAGGGAGAACAUUGACACCCAAAGAGGCUCACAGAUCACCCGAAGAUGUCAUCCAAGCAUGUUUUGAAUCCACCCAUUUUUCACCCUUUUGUUUUGGGUUCUAUUUGAAACAUAGCAAAUGAUUUGUAAUUCAUCACAUAGAACCCCAGAAAGGGAAGAACCAAAAGAGCCUUCUACUAUUUGCAACUGCAUUCCCCAAAGAUACAAGUGAAAUUUGAGUAAUGCCCUUAUUUCCAUUUUUAGAUUGGAUUUUAAAGUAAUUUUUAGUUUUUGUUGUUGAUGGCAUAUAUGUUAUAUGGGAUUUAUACUGAUUUUUCAGCUUUUAACCUAUGAAUAGUAUAUGACAAAUAUAUCGAUUUGGAGUCCACCCACAUCUUGGCUUUUGACUUCUAAUUAUUAAAGAUUAGGGCACAAUAACAUUCAAAUUAGUUUUUAUUUAUCUACUAUUUGCAACUGCAUUCCCCAAAGACACAAGUGAAAUUUGAGUAAUGCCCUUAUUUCCAUUUUUAGAUUGGAUUUUAAAGUAAUUUUUAGUUUUUGUUGUUGAUGGCAUAUAUGUUAUAUGGGAUUUAUACUGAUUUUUCAGCUUUUAACCUAUGAAUAGUAUAUGACAAAUAUAUCGAUUUGGAGUCCACCCACAUCUUGGCUUUUGACUUCUAAUUAUUAAAGAUCAGAGCACAAUAACAUUCAAAUUAGUUUUUAUUUAUCUAUCUCACACAUAUUUAGUUUGUUGCAUUUCUCUAUCAUGUAUUUAAUGUGGUUCCUUUAUCUGCUGUACAAAUGAGUCUCCUUCUUCAGAAAUUUUAUGCCAUAAACGUGAUGUAGUUGAUUCAAUUAUACAAUUGUCACAAUCUGAUGGUAAGCAGUUUAUGAACUUCCAAACCCUUCCAAAUGGUCACCGAAGUUUGAGUGUUCUACUCGCAGGACCAAGCAUUUGAGGGCAAUCUCUUACCACCAAAAUGGACAAUAUACUUUUAACACUUAUUUGGGUAUUCUUGUAACUUGAGCUUAGAACUGUGAAUUUUUGUGCAUUUUUUUGUUGAUGUACAAUUAAUGCCUGGCAACUCACAAUUUUGAGUUUGGAGUGUCACAGUUUGCCUGGUUGCUUGGAACUUGUUGACAGAGAAAUCCUUAUGUUUCUUCUUGCCUGUUUUAUUGGUUAUAAAAAUCUAACCUAUUACAAGACAGGGAAACUGAAAGUAUAACUUACCGAACAACCAAGCAGUCUACAGGGACAGGAAGUCAUGUUUUUUUAGAACAAUUAAGUCAAAAUAUAUAUAUAUAUAUAUAUAUAUAUAUAUAUAUAUAUAGUAUUUAUAUGUUCUGAAAAUGCACUUACUGUGUUUGAACACAUCUUUGACACAAAAAAAAACUUGUUCUAGUAAAUAAUAUAACACCAAAGAACAGUUCCACGCCCUUUUCACAGAGCACAAGUGCCAUACCCGCUCUUCUAAUAACGAUGCCAUCGGCAGAAGAAUAACCUGAUGUUUAUGUAAUUUUGGUUUGUUGCUGGCUCUCUUCUGUUGGAUUUCACUCUUGCAUCUGCACAUCUCUUGAAGUUCCUUUUGCUGCCGUUCAUC